RNAcentral lists this ribosomal RNA (503 nucleotides) under uncultured bacterium. Its description in RNAcentral is "bacterial SSU rRNA". It matches the Rfam family "Bacterial small subunit ribosomal RNA", at positions 28 to 526 of the family's 1533-position model. The record is from RNAcentral.
GAUGAACGCUAGCGGCAGGCUUAAUACAUGCAAGUCGAGGGGCAGCACAGAUAGCAAUAUUGGGUGGCGACCGGCAAACGGGUGCGGAACACGUACACAACCUUCCUUUUGGUGGGGGAUAGCCUUUGGAAACGGAGAUUAAUACCCCAUAAUACAUUGAGACAGCAUUGUUUUGAUGUUAAAGAUUUAUCGCCGGAAGAUGGGUGUGCGUAUGAUGAGGUAGUUGGUAGGGUAACGGCCGACCAAGCCGACGAUCAUUAACUGGUGUGAGAGCACGACCAGUCACACGGGCACUGAGACACGGGCCCGACUCCUACGGGAGGCAGCAGUAAGGAAUAUUGGUCAAUGGACGGAAGUCUGAACCAGCCAUGCCGCGUGGAGGAUGAAGGUCCUCUGGAUUGUAAACUUCUUUUAUAGGGGGCGAUAAAAGGGAAUUCUUUCUCGUCUGACGGUACCCUAUGAAUAAGCACCGGCUAACUCCGUGCCAGCCGCCGCCGUAACAC